RNAcentral lists this ribosomal RNA (446 nucleotides) under uncultured bacterium. Its description in RNAcentral is "SSU rRNA". It matches the Rfam family "Bacterial small subunit ribosomal RNA", at positions 26 to 518 of the family's 1533-position model. The record is from RNAcentral.
AGAGCGAACGCUGGCGGCAGGCUUAACACAUGCAAGUCGAGCGCCCGUAGCAAUACGGGAGCGGCAGACGGGAGAGUAACACGUGGGAACGCGCCCUUCGGUUCGGAAUAACUCAGGGAAACUUGAGCUAAUACCGAAUACGCCCUUACGGGGAAAGAUUUAUUGCCGAAGGAACGGCCCGCGUCGGAUUAGCUAGUUGGUGAGGUAACGGCUCACCAAGGCGACGAUCCGUAGCUGGUCUGAGAGGAUGACCAGCCUCACUGGGACUGAGACACGGCCCAGACUCCUACGGGAGGCAGCAGUGGGGAAUAUUGGACAAUGGGCGCAAGCCUGAUCCAGCCAUGCCGCGUGGAUGAUGAAGGCCUUAGGGUUGUAAAGUCCUUUUAACGGGAAGAUAAUGACGGUACCCGUAGAAUAAGCCCGGCUAACUUCGUGCCAGCAGCCGC